Sphaeramia orbicularis (orbiculate cardinalfish) is the source of this 1280-nucleotide long non-coding RNA. RefSeq lists it as uncharacterized. Lineage: Eukaryota; Metazoa; Chordata; Actinopteri; Kurtiformes; Apogonidae. The transcript is spliced from 5 exons. The record is from RefSeq and is a predicted model, not a curated record.
GAAUGAAAAAUCCAAAACUAUUAGAACCUUGGUCUGAACGUCGCCAUACAGUGUUGAUGGAUGCGUCCAUUUGUGCGUGUUUUAGUCCGAUAAUGACUCUUUCUUGUUCUUUUCUUGGCAGACAGGAGUCAUUAUUGUCUCCUCAGAGGUCUUUGUCGGACCAGGUAAACACGGGUGGUUUGAGGAAUCUGACCGAGUGACGCCGAUGUUUUUCAGGUACAGUGUUCCCGCAGCAUCGCUGGUCGUCAUAGCAACGCAACACAAAGAUGCUGUGAUGUCAUCUUCAGCAUGAGAAGGAAACCCACUGAUAUCCGACCUGACGGCGGUGAGGCAGAACCAGAACAGUCCGCUGACAUGCGUCACGGUCCGGGGAUGGAGAUGGAGGGGAGGCCUAGUGCUGAGUCCUGAGUGCCGCUGGUGCUGAGCAGACACACAUUAGAGCUUUAACCAGAUGAACUGAGUCCACUCAUCAUUUAUGAAGAAGAACUCCUACUGUCACAACAGUUUCAGGAGGAAAUCAACCUCAGAUCCUCCUUCAGAUAGAACUGAAACCAUCUCCAUAACUUUGAUCAAAUGGGAAUGAGCUGUUUUUGCAGCUGUGGACUAAAACUGCGAACAGGAAUACAGCGUUUUUUUUGACCCACCUCCGUCCGCUUUGUGUGAGUCAGUUGGAGUCAUUUCUCUAAUUACAACCACUAAUAGCAGCAAAACAUCCAGCAGUAUUUUCCCGUGUAAUCGCUGACAGGUUUCUGUGUAAGCCGUAUAAACGCAGUAGGAAAAAAAGAAGGCUUCUAAUAAAAUGUGGAGCAGUGGACCUGAAAGUGGCUAUGGAAGGCCUGUUAUCUCCAAAAUACAGAGACCGAGGAAAGGGAAAGGUUUAUAACCAAGUCAGACUUCUAAUUGUGGACGGUAGACUGUAAUUAAUGUGAGCAGAGGCUGAUUAAAGCCAGAGGUGGCUGAGCAUCGGUCACAGAUCUGCACAUUUCAGCCUCCUUCACCCUCUUAUUUAAGUGUUUUUAAAAGCACACGCUCAUAUUAGAUCAUGAGGAGGAAAUUCAGCUGGAGUAAGGACGACCAUUAAAACUGGCCUGAUUUAUUUAUUUAGGAUGUUUUGGCAAAAAAAAAAAAAAAAAAAACAACAGUCAGAAAAUGUCUUUUUUUUUGGCCAACCUUAUUCCAGGAAGAACUAAACUUUCAGUAUCUGUCCAUUAAUUAUCAUUAUUUUAUGUAAUUAAGGUUUAAAUCAGUGUGUUAUAUCCAUCCAUCCAUUAUCUUCCACU